CACAAGUGAUCCUAGUGCAAGUCUACAGUGCAGAGGACAGGUUCCGUCCCGCCCCCCCCCCCCAUGAUGAAAGUGGCUUUUUGGGAUCAAUUUCACAUAUUCAUGAUCCUUCCUUGAAAACGGCAAGCAAAGGGAGCCCACCAUCUGCAAGGACUGGAAGACAAUAGGCUGACUGUGCCAUCAACACAUUCUAGCAGAUGGGGGCGUGGAGGAACUGGCUCCUGUCCAAAAGGGAAAAAGAUGCCUGGAUGACUUCCCAGGAUGAUGUGGCUGUUCAGAAGCAAGGAAAGAGGAAUCAGAUGGCUGCUCCUGAGUGAGGGUGAGGAAACAGUCAAGGGUGGAAGGAGAAAAAGCACCCAAAGGGUGAAGAAGAAAAGAGUAAAAGUGAUAAGACCAAUGGUGAAUUGACACAGCUCUGAACAGGGAAUAUCAAGCAGAGAGGAAAAUCACAAGGAAAAUACGUUUAGAACGUUUGCUUCAAUUCGUUUUUUAUUUUGUUCCAGUUAAUGUUCCCAGUUGUUCCAGCUUAAGUUGCCUGAUUUCAGUUUUUGAAUAUGUUAGCAUCUGAUGUGUUUUUAAUAACUCUUUCUCUCUUGCUUUCUGUUCCUUUUUAAAUACUUACUUAUCCAGACAGCACUCUGGGAUGCUGACAGAUUCCAGAACUACUUGUUGUUCCAACCAUAGGAAAUUAACCUGAACGCAACGCACAUCUGGGUUUCAUGAAAACCAUUACUAAUUUUCCUGUAUUCUGACCCCCUUGCUUAUAUCUGGUGAUUGUGUGUGUGAACGCGCCCGCACUUUAAUUGCUUAUAAGAAGGAGAACAGAUUUAGUCUUCUCCUGUCUUCUGGACUUUUGGCUGUUUUCUCAUCUGAAUGAUCUGUUGGAAUCUCUGCUGGCUGACAGAUGGGAUGAAAUAGGGGAAACUAAAGCAAGUUGAGAAAGAAAUAUUAUGGUUGAGGCCCACUGUGUAAGAUUAUAGUUUUUGUUUGUUUUUUUCCCUGCUGCUUUGCCAAGCUGCUGUGCGUGCCUGCAUUUAUUUUUCCAGAACAAAUAACUUUUUGUUGUGUGUGUUUGCAUUUUUUUAAGAGAAAAAGAAAAGAUAAAUUCAACUGAUCUUUACCAGAUCUGCUAUGGUACUAAUUAAAAAGUACUUUGUGAGAGCCAUCAUUGUAUUUCCCUCCCUUUGCUUGCAUUUAAUGUUGUAACAGAAACCCACAUUUACUAUGGAUGAAUUUCUGUACAUAAAAAAGAG
RNAcentral lists this long non-coding RNA (1253 nucleotides) under Salvator merianae (Argentine black and white tegu). Its description in RNAcentral is "lncRNA (ENSSMRG00000009635.1)". The record is from RNAcentral. Lineage: Eukaryota; Metazoa; Chordata; Lepidosauria; Squamata; Teiidae.